GGAAGAAAUCUAACCCUGUAAAUAACUGUCCUGGAUUCUUUCCAUCCUGUUAAAACCAAACACUUGCAGGUGUCUGUAACCCUCGAGACCUUUCAGGAUCUGUCCUUGCCGAUUCCUGGCAAGGAAGACCUGGCUAAGCUGCACUCCUCCAGUCACCCAACUAUAGUCAAAGCAGGGUCGUGUGGCGAAGCCUACGCUCCACAGGGGUGGAUAGCUUUCUUCAUGGAGUACGUGAAGAGGUUUGUUGUCUCAUGUGUCCCUAGCUGGUUUUGGGGUCCAGUAGUAACCUUGCAAGAUUGUCUUGCUGCCUUCUUCGCCAGAGAUGAACUUAAAGGUAAGAAAUACGAUCGCAUUUAUGACUGACUUUGGUAGGUGAACCAAUGCUUCAUUUCGGACAGUUAAAUAGUAUUUGUUCAUAUUUGCAUGGUGGAGGAAUCUUCAGUGGCAGUUGAAAUAUGAUUAGAAAAGUCCUGCCCUGAAGGAAUUUAUAUAGAUUUCUAUAAUACAAAACAAGACAUCUUCACGUUCUGUGAUUCUGAGAAGGUGGAUUCUGUGAAGAUGAUGGGUGCAGAUGCGCCUUGAACUGUUCACAGCUGCACCUGCAGUGACGGUCCUAUGCAGCUGCGCUUGCCUACUCUGUGGCUUCUGCCUUCUACUCUUCUCUACCGUUUUUCUUCCCUUUCAAACCAGCCCUAACACUAGAGAAGAGAGAAAACAGAGUAGAGAGGAAAGGAAAGAGAUCCCUGAAUAAGGUCCGGGGUCAGAAAGGGGGUGGGCUGUUACUUCUGCUUCCUGCUGAUUAGGAUGUUCAGUUCCUUGGAACAAGUGUGAUCUUUGCUGUCAGGACAUCUAAUUUCUUUUUCUCAUUUCUUCUUUGCAUGACCAACAGUAAUGAACAACCAAACAACUUACCAACAGACCUCCCACCUCUAGGGGCCUAGCGAUUUUAUAUCCUCUGAAAAGUCUCGGGAUUCCAAAUGUUACACACUUGCAGAAAUACGUGCAGCUGACAGUCAUGCCCCCUCCAGAGCAAGAGGCCACUUACAGUCAGCUGCUGUGGACGGUCUGAAA
This 1071-nucleotide long non-coding RNA is filed under the name Rattus norvegicus (Norway rat). RNAcentral's name for it is "long non-coding RNA NONRATT015884". Lineage: Eukaryota; Metazoa; Chordata; Mammalia; Rodentia; Muridae. The record is from RNAcentral.